Molecule: ribosomal RNA, 489 nt
Filed under: uncultured bacterium
Lineage: Bacteria
Description: bacterial SSU rRNA
Rfam family: Bacterial small subunit ribosomal RNA
Source: RNAcentral
GACGAACGCUGGCGGCGUGGAUUAGGCAUGCAAGUCGAACGGUAGGAUACCUUCGGGUAUCUGAGAGUGGCGAACGGGUGAGUAACACGUAGGUGAUCUACCCUCAAGAUUGGGACAACCCAGGGAAACUUGGGCUAAUACCGGAUGAAAGCAGCAGCGAUGUUGUUUGAAAGGUGGCGUAAGCUGCCGUUUGGGGAUGAGCCUGCGCUCUAUUAGUUAGUUGGCGGGGUAAAGGCCCACCAAGGCGAUGAUAGAUAGGCGGCCUUAACGGGUGGUCGCCCACACUGGGAUUGAGAUACGGCCCAGACUCCUACGGGAGGCAGCAGUCGAGAAUAGUCUACAAUGGCCGAAAGGCUGAUAGUGCGACGCCGCGUGAACGAAGAAGCCCUUCGGGUGUAAAGUUCUUUUAUAUGUGAGCAGUGCUUUCUAUGUGAACAGCAUGGGGAGAGAGAUAUUAGCAUAUGAAUAAGCAACGGCUAACUCCGUGCC